CUGCCCUAAAGUGGGGGAUAACAUCUGGAAACAGGUGCUAAUACCGCAUAACAACAUUUACCACAUGGUUUAUGUUUGAAAGAUGGUUCUGCUAUCGCUUUAGGAUGGACCCGCGGCGUAUUAGCUAGUUGGUGAGGUAACGGCUCACCAAGGCAAUGAUACGUAGCCGACCUGAGAGGGUAAUCGGCCACAUUGGGACUGAGACACGGCCCAAACUCCUACGGGAGGCAGCAGUAGGGAAUCUUCCACAAUGGACGAAAGUCUGAUGGAGCAACGCCGCGUGAGUGAAGAAGGUUUUCGGAUCGUAAAACUCUGUUGUUGAAGAAGAACAUGCGUGAGAGUAACUGUUCAUGUAUUGACGGUAUUCAACCAGAAAGCCACGGCUAACUACGUG
This 394-nucleotide ribosomal RNA is filed under the name uncultured bacterium. RNAcentral's name for it is "bacterial SSU rRNA". It matches the Rfam family "Bacterial small subunit ribosomal RNA", at positions 126 to 507 of the family's 1533-position model. The record is from RNAcentral.